GCCGGCGUAGCUCAGUUGGUAGAGCAGAGGUUUUGUAAACCUAAGACCGGGGGUUCGACUCCCUUCGCCGGCU
Molecule: transfer RNA, 73 nt
Filed under: Candidatus Omnitrophota bacterium
Lineage: Bacteria; Pseudomonadati; Candidatus Omnitrophota
Description: tRNA-Thr
Rfam family: tRNA
About the family: Transfer RNA (tRNA) molecules are approximately 80 nucleotides in length. Their secondary structure includes four short double-helical elements and three loops (D, anti-codon, and T loops).
Source: RNAcentral